RNAcentral lists this ribosomal RNA (484 nucleotides) under uncultured bacterium. RNAcentral's name for it is "partial 16S ribosomal RNA". It matches the Rfam family "Bacterial small subunit ribosomal RNA", at positions 29 to 507 of the family's 1533-position model. The record is from RNAcentral.
AUUGAACGCUGGCGGCAUGCUUUACACAUGCAAGUCGAACGGCAGCGCGGGCUUCGGCCUGGCGGCGAGUGGCGAACGGGUGAGUAAUACAUCGGAACGUGCCCCGCAGUGGGGGAUAGCUCGGCGAAAGCCGGAUUAAUACCGCAUACGACCUGAGGGUGAAAGCGGGGGCUCUUCGGACCUCGCGCUCUUGGCGCGGCCGAUGGCAGAUUAGCUAGUUGGUGGGGUAAAGGCCUACCAAGGCGACGAUCUGUAGCUGGUCUGAGAGGACGACCAGCCACACUGGGACUGAGACACGGCCCAGACUCCUACGGGAGGCAGCAGUGGGGAAUUUUGGACAAGGGGCGAAAGCCUGAUCCAGCAAUGCCGCGUGUGUGAUGAAGGCCUUCGGGUUGUAAAGCACUUUUGGCGGGAACGAAAAGGACUGUGCCAAUACCACGGUUCGAUGACGGUACCCGCAGAAUAAGCACCGGCUAACUACGUG